CAGGCACACGUACCAAGAUGGCAUCACUGGCUCCCCUGCUCUGCCUCGUGGUGCUCUGGGUCCAGGGUUCCUCUGGGCAGAUUGUGCUGACUCAGACCCCAGAGUCCCUGGCGGUGUCUCCAGGAGAUCAAGUGACCAUCAAGUGCAAAGCCAGUUCCAGCCUUACUUAUAGUAGCUCUGGGACUACCUAUCAGCUCUUAUCCUGGUACCAGCAGAAACCGGGACAAGCUCCAAAGCUCCUUAUCUAUAACGCUGUCACCCAGGAAUCGGGAGUCCCAGCCCGGUUCAGCGGCAGUGGCUCUGGCACUGAUUUCACUCUCACCAUCAGCAGUGUUGAAGCUGAAGAUGCUGGAGAUUAUUAUUGUCAGCAGUACAAAAGCUCACCUCACACAGUGAUACAAACCCAUACAAAAACCUCCCUGGGCUGUCCAGCCCAGCACCACAGCUGCUUCCUGAAGACUCACUUGAUUGAACAACUGCUAUACUCAGUACCAGCUCUGGGGAUUUCCCAGGACACAAACACGUCACUGUCUGACCCACAGACACCACCACGCUGCCCCUGCUGCCCAGACUGCAGGACAGAUCAGUCCAGGUGCACAGGCCAGGGGAGUUUGUUCCCAAGUCUGAGAUUUAACCUCCCCUGAACUAGGGGCUCAUUUC
Molecule: non-coding RNA, 660 nt
Organism: Alligator mississippiensis (American alligator)
Lineage: Eukaryota; Metazoa; Chordata; Crocodylia; Alligatoridae
Source: the annotation of a RefSeq genome assembly